This 495-nucleotide ribosomal RNA is filed under the name uncultured bacterium. RNAcentral describes it as "SSU rRNA". It matches the Rfam family "Bacterial small subunit ribosomal RNA", at positions 26 to 521 of the family's 1533-position model. The record is from RNAcentral.
AGGACGAACGCUGGCGGCGUGCUUAACACAUGCAAGUGGAGCGACGAACCAGGGCUUGCCCUGGGGCAGAGCCGCGAACGGGUGAGUAACACGUGGGUUACCUGCCUCGAUGACCGGGACAACCCGAGGAAACUCGGGCUAAUACCGGAUGUGCCCGCAAGGGGAAAGGAAGCUUCGGCCUCCGCAUCGAGAUGGGCCCGCGGCCCAUUAGCUUGUUGGUGAGGUAACGGCUCACCAAGGCUUCGAUGGGUAGCUGGUCUGAGAGGACGAUCAGCCACACUGGGACUGAGACACGGCCCAGACUCCUACGGGAGGCAGCAGUGGGGAAUCUUGCGCAAUGCGCGAAAGCGUGACGCAGCAACGCCGCGUGGGGGAAGAAGGCUUUCGGGUUGUAAACCCCUUUCAGUUGGGACGAAGCUUCUCCGGUGAAUAGCCGGAUGGAGUGACGGUACCUUCACAAGAAGCACCGGCUAACUACGCGCCAGCAGCCGCGGU